Molecule: long non-coding RNA, 636 nt
Organism: Lates calcarifer (barramundi perch)
Lineage: Eukaryota; Metazoa; Chordata; Actinopteri; Centropomidae
Exons: 3
Source: RefSeq, a predicted model, not a curated record
GAAGGACAGGUUGGUGAGAACAUGAUUUAAGUUGGUAUCUACUUCCUGUCCGAGUGAGUCACUGCACAAAACAUUCAAACUUCUUUCGACCACUGAGAGCUGCUGUGUUGUUUACAACCAUCGAACAUAAAGAAGAAAACAGUUCAACUGUAAAAAAGACGAAAUGUGUUUGGAAAAAAGGUGGAGAGAGGCCCUGACCUCCAUCCUGGAGGAGCUGGACGACUCACAGUUCAGGAAGCUGCUGUUCUCUUUGGACAAAAUUCCAAAAAGUCUGAAGUCCAAGUCCAGAGAAGAAAUGCCGCAAAUCAUCAUCGAGAAAUACGGAGUAGAAGAAUCCAUCAAUGAAAUAGAUGCAAAGAUGCAAGAGUUACCGAGGUUGGACAGUAAAGUCCAGGACCUGUUGCAGCCCUUUGUGAGGGAAGUGCAGAGUUUACGCUGAGAUCAAGAACUGAUGCAGUCGGACCAGUGACAACCAAACAAAGACAGGAAGUGACUUCUCUAUGUUAGACUACAGUGAUGUUAUUUACAGACCUGAUCCCAAACAUCUGGAUUCUGUCCAUCACUCAGCUCUUUAUUAGCCCUCACUGUGUCCUGUAUCAACAUCUGUAAUAAAGGGAGUGUGAGUAAAAACGUAAA